Molecule: long non-coding RNA, 502 nt
Organism: Clupea harengus (Atlantic herring)
Lineage: Eukaryota; Metazoa; Chordata; Actinopteri; Clupeiformes; Clupeidae
Source: Ensembl
AGAGACUCCAGUCAGAAUCCAGCUGAGCCUGUGAGAGAUACAGCCCAGGGUGCUGAAUUUUCUCCUUCAGAUCCUGAGACAGAUGACAGUCGUAGUGAGCUCCAGCUGCUGCAGUGUGAGUUGGCGGAGGUGAAACACGUCUGUCAGAAGCUCCGUGAUCAGAAUGCAGUGCUGAUGAGGGCUGUUGCCCAUGGCGAUGACCUCAACCUACAGCUCACCAUGGAGAUGACCGAGUUACGCACCAAACUGGCCAGUGCCCAGCUGGCGGCAGUGAGAGCGCAGUCCUUGGCUGAGGAGCUGGAUGAGGUGCGUCAGGCUCUGAGGGAGAGUCAGGACCAGGAGAGAGUCACCCAUGCCGCCAUCAGCUCUCUGGUAAAAGAAAAUGAAAACUUGAAAGCCCAGCUGAAUGCCAUUGAAGAAAAGAAUGAGAGGUGGAGUCUGGAGAGGAGUAUGGCUGAGGAGCAGCUGAACAAACUGAGGAAGGCCAACGCACACAUUAAGG